Daucus carota subsp. sativus is the source of this 81-nucleotide non-coding RNA. The record is from Rfam. NCBI's taxonomy places the organism in Eukaryota, Viridiplantae, Streptophyta, Magnoliopsida, Apiales, Apiaceae.
AGCCAGUGAUGAGAUAGUUUAUCGUGUAAUUGUAUGAUAAAUUCAUGAUUACAUCAAUGCUACUGCCUUCCUUCUGAGGCU